Molecule: ribosomal RNA, 253 nt
Filed under: uncultured bacterium
Lineage: Bacteria
Description: partial 16S ribosomal RNA
Rfam family: Bacterial small subunit ribosomal RNA
Source: RNAcentral
UACGGAGGGGGCUAGCGUUGUUCGGAAUUACUGGGCGUAAAGCGCACGUAGGCGGACCGGAAAGUUGGAGGUGAAAUCCCAGGGCUCAACCUUGGAACUGCCUUCAAAACUAUCGGUCUGGAGUUCGGGAGAGGUGAGUGGAAUUCCGAGUGUAGAGGUGAAAUUCGUAGAUAUUCGGAGGAACACCAGUGGCGAAGGCGGCUCACUGGCUCGAUACUGACGCUGAGGUGCGAAAGCGUGGGGAGCAAACAGG